UUGAAAGGGAAACGAUUGAAGUCAGUCAUGCUGGUGGGAAUCAACUUAGGGGAAACUCUGGGUGCACUUCUUCGCUUGGCAGGUCAACGUCGAUUUUGAAUGUCAUAAAAUAAUUGGGGAAGGUAGCUCCUUCGGGAGUGUUAUAGCCCUUGAUAGAUGUGAUGUUUGAGGUCGAGGAUUGCAACGGAUACCUUUGGGGCUAGCUGCCUGAUCUCUAAUUGGUGUUGGGUUACGGAUAGCAUGCUGACCGUGAUCUAAUUACUGGUUAAAAGGUUAGAGUGUGCAUAAAUUCGUUAAGGAUGUUGACGUA
This 310-nucleotide ribosomal RNA is filed under the name uncultured Glomeromycotina. RNAcentral describes it as "LSU rRNA". Lineage: Eukaryota; Fungi; Glomeromycota. The record is from RNAcentral.